This 1504-nucleotide ribosomal RNA is filed under the name uncultured bacterium. Its description in RNAcentral is "bacterial SSU rRNA". It matches the Rfam family "Bacterial small subunit ribosomal RNA". The record is from RNAcentral.
AGAGUUUGAUCAUGGCUCAGAACGAACGCUGGCGGCGUGGAUAAGACAUGCAAGUCGAACGGAAUCAUUGUUGUAGUAAUACAGUGAUGGUUUAGUGGCGAACGGGUGCGUAACACGUGGAUACAUUCCGGGAAGCGGGGGAUAGCCCAGGGAAACUUGGAUUAAUACCGCAUGUGGUCGAGAGACUAAAGACGGGGAUCGAAAGACCUGUCACUUUCCGAUUGGUCCGCGGCCUAUCAGCUAGUUGGCGGGGUAAAAGCCCACCAAGGCGACGACGGGUAGCUGGUCUUAGAGGACGACCAGCCACACUGGAACUGAGACACGGUCCAAACACCUACGGGUGGCAGCAGUCGAGAAUCUUUCACAAUGGGGGCAACCCUGAUGGAGCGACGCCGCGUGGAGGAUAAGGUCUUCGGAUUGUAAACUCCUGUCAUGCGCGAACAAGGCUGGUUGGAUAAUACCUGAUCAGAUUGAUGGUAGCGCAAGAGGAAGAGACGGCUAACUCUGUGCCAGCAGCCGCGGUAAUACAGAGGUCUCAAGCGUUGUUCGGAAUCACUGGGCGUAAAGGGUGCGUAGGUGGCGAGGUAAGUCAGAUGUGAAAGCCCAGGGCUCAACCUUGGAAUUGCAUCCGAUACCGCUUUGCUAGAGUACUGGAGGGGUGACUAGAAUUCUCGGUGUAGCAGUGAAAUGCGUAGAUAUCGAGAGGAAUACCAAAGGCGUAGGCAGGUCACUGGACAGUUACUGACACUGAGGCACGAAGGCCAGGGUAGCGAACGGGAUUAGAUACCCCGGUAGUCCUGGCAGUAAACGGUGCAUACUUGGUGUGGGAAGAUUCGACCCUUCCUGUGCCGGAGCUAACGCGUUAAGUAUGCCGCCUGGGAAGUACGGUCGCAAGAUUAAAACUCAAAGAAAUUGACGGGGACCCGCACAAGCGGUGGAGUAUGUGGCUUAAUUCGAUGCAACGCGAAGAACCUUACCUGGUCUUGACAUGCACUGUGUCUCCGAUGAAAGUCGGAUAGGAUAGCAAUAUCCGCUUUGCACAGGUGCUGCAUGGCUGUCGUCAGCUCGUGUCGUGAGAUGUUGGGUUAAGUCCCGCAACGAGCGCAACCCCUGUGGUUUGUUGCCACCCGGUUUACCGGAGCACUCGAACCAGACUGCCUCGAUCAACGAGGAGGAAGGUGGGGAUGACGUCAAGUCCGUAUGGCCCUUACGACCAGGGCUGCACACGUACUACAAUGCCCAGCACAAUGUGAACCGAAACCGCGAGGUGGAGGAAAUCAGUAAAACUGGGCUCAGUUCAGAUUGUAGUCUGCAACUCGACUACAUGAAGUUGGAAUCGCUAGUAAUGGUACAUCAGCUACGGUACCGUGAAUACGUUCCCGGGUCUUGUACACACCGCCCGUCACAUCAUGGAAGCUGGUUUCGCCCGAAGUGCGUGAGUCAACCGCAAGGAGACAGCGCCCUAAGGCAAGACUGGUAACUGGGAUGAAGUCGUAACAAGGUA